This 894-nucleotide ribosomal RNA is filed under the name uncultured Gemmatimonadales bacterium. RNAcentral describes it as "bacterial SSU rRNA". It matches the Rfam family "Bacterial small subunit ribosomal RNA", at positions 8 to 916 of the family's 1533-position model. The record is from RNAcentral. Lineage: Bacteria; Pseudomonadati; Gemmatimonadota; Gemmatimonadia; Gemmatimonadales.
AGAGUUUGAUCCUGGCUCAGAAUCAACGCUGGCGGCGUGCCUAACACAUGCAAGUCGCACGAGAAAGGGGCUUCGGUCCUGAGUACAGUGGCGCACGGGUGAGUAACACGUGAAUCAUCUACCUUCGAGUGGGGAAUAACUGAGAGAAAUCUUAGCUAAUACCGCAUAAUACCUACGGGUCAAAGCAGCAAUGCGCUUGAAGAGGAGUUCGCGGCAGAUUAGUUAGUUGGCGAGGUAACGGCUCACCAAGGCGACGACGGGUAGCUGGUCUGAGAGGAUGGCCAGCCACAUUGGGACUGAGAAACGGCCCAGACUCCUACGGGAGGCAGCAGUGGGGAAUAUUGCGCAAUGGCCGAAAGGCUGACGCAGCGACGCCGCGUGUAGGAUGAGGCCCUUCGGGGUGUAAACUACUGUUGCCCGGGACGAACGGCAGACUUUGGUCUGCGUGACGGUACCGGGUGAGGAAGCACCGGCUAACUCCGUGCCAGCAGCCGCGGUAAUACGGAGGGUGCGAGCGUUGUCCGGAAUCACUGGGCGUAAAGGGCGCGUAGGUGGCUUGGUAAGGGGGCGGUGAAAGCCCGGGGCUCAACCCCGGGUCUGCCGGACCGACUGCUGAGCUAGAGCACACUAGAGGCAAGUGGAAUUCCGGGUGUAGCGGUGGAAUGCGUAGAGAUCCGGAAGAACACCGGUGGCGAAGGCGGCUUGCUGGGGUGUGGCUGACACUGAGGCGCGACAGCGUGGGGAGCAAACAGGAUUAGAUACCCUGGUAGUCCACGCCGUAAACGAUGGGCACUAGGUGCUCGGGGGAGCGACCCUCCGGGUGCCGGCGCUAACGCAUUAAGUGCCCCGCCUGGGGAGUACGGCCGCAAGGCUGAAACUCAAAGGAAUUGACGG